This 433-nucleotide ribosomal RNA is filed under the name uncultured bacterium. RNAcentral describes it as "partial 16S ribosomal RNA". It matches the Rfam family "Bacterial small subunit ribosomal RNA", at positions 29 to 507 of the family's 1533-position model. The record is from RNAcentral.
AACGAACGCUGGCGGCAUGCCUAACACAUGCAAGUCGAACGAGACCUUCGGGUCUAGUGGCGCACGGGUGCGUAACGCGUGGGAACCUGCCUUUAGGUCCGGAAUAACUCAGAGAAAUUUGAGCUAAUACCGGAUGAUGUCUUCGGACCAAAGAUUUAUCGCCUUUAGAUGGGCCCGCGUUGGAUUAGCUAGUUGGUGGGGUAAAGGCCUACCAAGGCGACGAUCCAUAGCUGGUCUGAGAGGAUGAUCAGCCACACUGGGACUGAGACACGGCCCAGACUCCUACGGGAGGCAGCAGUGGGGAAUAUUGGACAAUGGGCGAAAGCCUGAUCCAGCAAUGCCGCGUGAGUGAUGAAGGCCUUAGGGUUGUAAAGCUCUUUUACCCGAGAUGAUAAUGACAGUAUCGGGAGAAUAAGCUCCGGCUAACUCCGUG